This 253-nucleotide ribosomal RNA is filed under the name uncultured bacterium. Its description in RNAcentral is "partial 16S ribosomal RNA". It matches the Rfam family "Bacterial small subunit ribosomal RNA", at positions 524 to 776 of the family's 1533-position model. The record is from RNAcentral.
UACGUAGGUGGCAAGCGUUAUCCGGAUUUAUUGGGCGUAAAGGGAACGCAGGCGGUCUUUUAAGUCUGAUGUGAAAGCCUUCGGCUUAACCGGAGUAGUGCAUUGGAAACUGGGAGACUUGAGUGUAGAAGAGGAGAGUGGAACUCCAUGUGUAGCGGUGAAAUGCGUAGAUAUAUGGAAGAACACCAGUGGCGAAAGCGGCUCUCUGGUCUGUAACUGACGCUGAGGUUCGAAAGCGUGGGUAGCAAACAGG